GGUAGAUCGCUGAGUGGUAGUUUCGGCAACCCUCCUGAGCCCAUAUUUUUGCAGGAGGCCGCAGGCAGACCCGCACCGGAACCAUGUUUCGCAACCAGUAUGACAAUGAUGUCACUGUUUGGAGCCCUCAGGGCAGGAUUCAUCAAAUUGAGUAUGCAAUGGAAGCUGUCAGUAAGGUUCAGCCACAGUUGGUCUGAAAUCAAAAACCCAUGCAGUGUUGGUUGCAUUGAAGAGAGCACAAUCAGAGCUUGCAGCUCAUCAGAAAAAAAUUCUCCAUGUUGACAACCAUAUUGGUAUCUCAAUUGCGGGACUUACUGCUGAUGCUAGACUGUUACGUAAUUUUAUGUGCCAAGAGUGUUUGGAUUCCAGAUUUGUAUUUGACAGACUUCUUCCUGUGUCUUGUCUUGUAUCUCUAAUUCGAAGCAAGACCCAGAUACCAACACAACAAUAUGGCCGGAGACCAUAUGGUGUUGGGCUGCUUAUUGCUGAUUAUGAUGAUAUGGGCCCUCACAUUUUCCAAACCUGUCCAUCUGCCAACUAUUUUGACUGUAGAGCCGUGUCCAUUGGAGCCCGUUCUCAAUCAGCUCGUACUUACUUGGAGAGACACAUGUCUGGGUUUAUGGAGUGCAAUUUGAAUGAACUGGUUAAACAUGGUCUGCGUGCCUUACGAGAGACACUCCUGCAGAACAGGACCUAACUACAAAGAAUGUUUCCAUUGGAAUUGUUGGUAAAGACUUGGCGUUUACGAUUUAUGAUGAUGAUGAUGUAUCUCCAUUCCUGGAAGGUCUUGAAGAAAGACCACAGAGAAAGGCACAGCCUGCUCAACCUGCUGAUGAACCUGCAGAAAAGGCUGAUGAACCAAUGGAACAUUAA
Odobenus rosmarus divergens (Pacific walrus) is the source of this 873-nucleotide RNA transcript. It is a transcript of the gene named proteasome subunit alpha type-1-like, with no coding region annotated. The transcript has a single exon. Lineage: Eukaryota; Metazoa; Chordata; Mammalia; Carnivora; Odobenidae. The record is from RefSeq and is a predicted model, not a curated record.